GCAUGAUAUGAUCUAGGGUUAAGGACCUCAUCAUGGGUCUAUGGACUAGAUAAUCUUCCUCUGGAUUGGAAGAUUUCCCCUUGUUAUUGUUCUUCCCCCCCUUCUAGAGGAACCUAUGCUGCUACUUUUGAAGAUUCGUACCUCGAAUUUAAUUUAAUGAGAGAUCUUCCAAUCUCAAGAGUAUUGAUAAAUAUUCUGCUUAAUUUUAUUAAUUUGAUCCAAAUGACAUAUAUAGGAUGUUCUCACCGUCUAACAACAGCUAUAACCAUAAUAGGAGUUUUUGCUAAAUAAGAAAACAUGUAACUACAACAAAAAUUAAAGCAAU
This 325-nucleotide unclassified non-coding RNA is filed under the name Hevea brasiliensis (rubber tree). Lineage: Eukaryota; Viridiplantae; Streptophyta; Magnoliopsida; Malpighiales; Euphorbiaceae. The record is from RNAcentral.